CCGGUCUUGACAUUCACGGAAUCCUUUAGAGAUAGAGGAGUGCCUUUGGGAGCCGUGAAACAGGUGCUGCAUGGCUGUUGUCAGCUCGUGUUGUGAGAUGUUGGGUUAAGUCCCGCAACGAGCGCAACCCCUGUCCUUUGUUGCCAACCCGUUAUGGUGGGAACUUUAAGGGGGACUCCGGGUGCAAACCGGGGGAAGGGGGGGGAGGAGGCAAGUUCUCCUGGCCCUUUAGACCAGGGGUUCCCCCGUUCUUCAAAGGGGGGGACCAAGGGGUGGGAAACCCGGAGGGGGGAGCAAAUCCAGAAAACCCAUUCUAAUUCGGGAUGGAAUUUGCAAAUUGGCUCCCAGGAAUUGGGAACCGCUGAAUCG
RNAcentral lists this ribosomal RNA (369 nucleotides) under uncultured bacterium. RNAcentral's name for it is "partial 16S ribosomal RNA". It matches the Rfam family "Bacterial small subunit ribosomal RNA", at positions 975 to 1335 of the family's 1533-position model. The record is from RNAcentral.